This 253-nucleotide ribosomal RNA is filed under the name uncultured bacterium. Its description in RNAcentral is "partial 16S ribosomal RNA". It matches the Rfam family "Bacterial small subunit ribosomal RNA", at positions 524 to 776 of the family's 1533-position model. The record is from RNAcentral.
UACGUAGGGUGCAAGCGUUAAUCGGAAUUACUGGGCGUAAAGCGUGCGCAGGCGGUUUUGUAAGUCUGACGUGAAAUCCCCGGGCUCAACCUGGGAAUUGCGUUGGAGACUGCAAGGCUAGAAUCUGGCAGAGGGGGGUAGAAUUCCACGUGUAGCAGUGAAAUGCGUAGAGAUGUGGAGGAACACCGAUGGCGAAGGCAGCCCCCUGGGUCAAGAUUGACGCUCAUGCACGAAAGCGUGGGUAGCAAACAGG